GAUGAACGCUGGCGGCGUGCCUAGUACAUGCAAGUCGAGCGAACGGACGAGAAGCUUGCUUCUCUGAUGUUAGCGGCGGACGGGUGAGUAACACGUGGAUAACCUACCUAUAAGACUGGGAUAACUUCGGGAAACCGGAGCUAAUACCGGAUAAUAUUUUGAACCGCAUGGUUCAAAAGUGAAAGACGGUCUUGCUGUCACUUAUAGAUGGAUCCGCGCUGCAUUAGCUAGUUGGUAAGGUAACGGCUUACCAAGGCAACGAUGCAUAGCCGACCUGAGAGGGUGAUCGGCCACACUGGAGCUGAGACACGGUCCAGACUCCUACGGGAGGCAGCAGUAGGGAAUCUUCCGCAAUGGGCGAAAGCCUGACGGAGCAACGCCGCGUGAGUGAUGAAGGUCUUCGGAUCGUAAAACUCUGUUAUUAGGGAAGAACAUAUGUGUAAGUAACUGUGCACAUCUUGACGGUACCUAAUCAGAAAGCCACGGCUAACUACGU
Molecule: ribosomal RNA, 496 nt
Filed under: uncultured bacterium
Lineage: Bacteria
Description: partial 16S ribosomal RNA
Rfam family: Bacterial small subunit ribosomal RNA
Source: RNAcentral